Molecule: non-coding RNA, 94 nt
Organism: Podarcis lilfordi (Lilford's wall lizard)
Lineage: Eukaryota; Metazoa; Chordata; Lepidosauria; Squamata; Lacertidae
Source: the annotation of a GenBank genome assembly
GCAAUUAUAAUUAAGUUUAGAAGAAAACAACAACAGCUGGUAGAACAUGAGACUCUUAAUCUUAGGGUUAUGGGCUCGAGCCCCAUGUUGGGCA